RNAcentral lists this ribosomal RNA (442 nucleotides) under uncultured bacterium. Its description in RNAcentral is "bacterial SSU rRNA". It matches the Rfam family "Bacterial small subunit ribosomal RNA", at positions 355 to 794 of the family's 1533-position model. The record is from RNAcentral.
UGAGGAAUAUUGGACAAUGGAUGGAAAUCUGAUCCAGCCAUGCCGCGUGCAGGAAGACGGUCCUAUGGAUUGUAAACUGCUUUAGCAUGGGAGCAAUAAGGUGUACGCGUACACCGAUGAGAGUACCAUGAGAAUAAGCACCGGCUAACUCCGUGCCAGCAGCCGCGGUAAUACGGAGGAUGCAAGCGUUAUCCGGAUUUAUUGGGUUUAAAGGGUGCGUAGGCGGAUGGGUAAGUCAGCGGUGAAAUGUCCCGGCUCAACCGGGGAACUGCCAUUGAUACUGCUUGUCUUGAAUGCGGAUGCCGUGGGAGGAAUGUGUAGUGUAGCGGUGAAAUGCAUAGAUAUUACACAGAACACCGAUUGCGAAGGCAUCUCACGAAUCCGUUAUUGACGCUGAGGCACGAAAGCGUGGGGAUCAAACAGGAUUAGAUACCCUGGUAGU